This 22-nucleotide microRNA is filed under the name Pristionchus pacificus. RNAcentral describes it as "ppc-miR-8223-5p". The record is from miRBase by way of RNAcentral. Lineage: Eukaryota; Metazoa; Nematoda; Chromadorea; Rhabditida; Neodiplogasteridae.
CCGCUGAUUCGCUCAUAUCCUU